RNAcentral lists this RNase P RNA (367 nucleotides) under Candidatus Omnitrophota bacterium. RNAcentral describes it as "RNase P RNA component class A". It matches the Rfam family "Bacterial RNase P class A". From Rfam's summary of the family: Ribonuclease P (RNase P) is a ubiquitous endoribonuclease, found in archaea, bacteria and eukarya as well as chloroplasts and mitochondria. Its best characterised activity is the generation of mature 5'-ends of tRNAs by cleaving the 5'-leader elements of precursor-tRNAs. Cellular RNase Ps are ribonucleoproteins. Lineage: Bacteria; Pseudomonadati; Candidatus Omnitrophota. The record is from RNAcentral.
GGCGCAGGUUGGAUGGUCGCCUCUGUCUUUAGACAGGGGAGGAAAGUCCGGGCUCCACAGGGUAGCAUAGCGGGUAAUGCCCGUCUCCGCCAAAAAAACACGGCGGAAGGAUUAGAGCCACAGAGACGAGUCUGAGAGGCGUUUUAUGGUAACGUAGUAGCUUAAGCGUACGUUGCCUGCUUUUCAGGGUGAAACGCGGUAAUCUCUAUGCGGAGCAAAACCAAAUAGGUCUCGCUAGGAAGAACGGCCCGUUCAGUAGAGCGAGACGGGUAGGUUGCACGAUCCCGGCAGCAAUGUCGGGGCAAGAUAGAUGACUAUCAUCCGCCAAAUGCGGAGACAGAACCCGGCUUACAGGCCUGCGCCGUAU